GUGAGGAAUAUUGCGCAAUGGAGGCAACUCUGACGCAGCCAUGCCGCGUGCAGGAAGAAGGCGCUACGCGUUGUAAACUGCUUUUAACCGGGAAGAAACCCCAGGACGUGUCCUGGGUUGACGGUACCGGAGGAAUAAGCACCGGCUAACUUCGUGCCAGCAGCCGCGGUAAUACGAAGGGUGCAAGCGUUAUCCGGAUUCAUUGGGUUUAAAGGGUGCGUAGGCGGAGCGUUAAGUCAGUGGUGAAAUCCUGCAGCUUAACUGUAGACUUGCCAUUGAUACUGGCGCUCUUGAGUGCGCUUGAAGUGGGCGGAAUGUGCCGUGUAGCGGUGAAAUGCUUAGAUAUGGCACAGAACACCAAUUGCGAAGGCAGCUCACUAAGGCGAUACUGACGCUGAGGCACGAAAGCGUGGGGAUCGAACAGGAUUAGAUACCCGUGGUAGUCC
Molecule: ribosomal RNA, 446 nt
Filed under: uncultured bacterium
Lineage: Bacteria
Description: partial 16S ribosomal RNA
Rfam family: Bacterial small subunit ribosomal RNA
Source: RNAcentral